This is a long non-coding RNA of Monomorium pharaonis (pharaoh ant), 800 nucleotides long. RefSeq lists it as uncharacterized. NCBI's taxonomy places the organism in Eukaryota, Metazoa, Arthropoda, Insecta, Hymenoptera, Formicidae. The transcript is spliced from 3 exons. The record is from RefSeq and is a predicted model, not a curated record.
UCGUCAUUCCGUGUUCUUUUAGAAGGUUUCAGACUGGUCAGCUGAUCGGACUGAGUGUCCCGAAGCGCAAGCGUUAACAUAUUUCACGAAGGGAAACACUCAAAAUUUUUAACCCGAGCUGUAAGAAAAAUGGCCGCCUUUGGAAUAUCAAAAAUAAGAAGAUAUCGACUGCGCUAAUUCCAAGAUAUCGAUAUGUAUGUACAUCCUGAUGAUGACGCACACAUCUGUGGGAUGUAAAGAGUAGGAUGCCACAUCUUCACCUUUAUCGUCCUCCUACCUAGCAACGAGUUUUCGCCUCGCCAAGCGCUCGAAUCAACUACCACUAUGAACACCGACAAGAUUAUCGGAACAUAGACCACCGCUAUCGUUUAUUCCUUUUCUCGUCGUUCUUCUCUGAGAAGAGGACGCUCAGUGUGAAGAGGAUAAAGUCGAAGUUUCUGAAAGAGGCAACAAGCAAGAGAGCACGUCCCAUCAGUUGAUCAAUCGACCGAGAAAGUAACGAUGAGAGAAGAGUCGCGGACAUCUACUCCACGCAAAAGGCGGAUAAGAAUAGAUCCAAGUUGACGCGAAAUCUUCUCCGGAAAAUAGAACCGCAUACAUGUAAAUUAGCAAGUAAAUCGUGAGACUCUAUUUAAGUAUUACGUUAAAUGAAAGAGCCAACAAAAGAUCUCCACCUGAUUGAACCUCUUUCUCUCUUCCGCUUAUAAUGUAAUUUAAAUCAUUCAACGCAUCUGUCGAUUCAAAUCCAUCGAUAAAUUAAUAAUAUUAAUUAAGUAUAUUCUUUUUUUAUAUCUUAAAGU